This is a long non-coding RNA of Xiphophorus couchianus (Monterrey platyfish), 190 nucleotides long. RefSeq lists it as uncharacterized. The record is from RefSeq and is a predicted model, not a curated record. The transcript has 2 exons. NCBI's taxonomy places the organism in Eukaryota, Metazoa, Chordata, Actinopteri, Cyprinodontiformes, Poeciliidae.
CGGAAAGGUGGCAAACUGUAAACUGCUCGGAGAGAGAGCGCGCACGGGUCGGAGCGAAAGGUAGAUAAUUACGGAGUAAUUCUAAUUAAGGUGUAGUCAAUCAGUUAAUUGGCGCUUGGUUGAUGAGGGAACAAUCUCUUACGGUGUGUUCACACACAAAGGCUGUAGAAUAAAGGACUGUGAACCAUCA